ACAGAAGGCAAAGAAAAGAUUACUAGAGAUUUGUCUCUCGUGGUGGCUUACGUGUGUAAGUUGCACUCAAAGAAAGGGAACUUUAUGGCACUGAAAGCUAAAGAGAUGGGCCUGCCGGUAGGAACAGCAGCCAUUGGGCCCAUAAUCGAAGCUCUGAAAGCUGGAAAAAGUGUGAC
This is a long non-coding RNA of Sinocyclocheilus grahami, 176 nucleotides long. RefSeq lists it as uncharacterized. The record is from RefSeq and is a predicted model, not a curated record. The transcript is spliced from 3 exons. Lineage: Eukaryota; Metazoa; Chordata; Actinopteri; Cypriniformes; Cyprinidae.